RNAcentral lists this ribosomal RNA (300 nucleotides) under uncultured Lactobacillus sp. RNAcentral's name for it is "bacterial SSU rRNA". It matches the Rfam family "Bacterial small subunit ribosomal RNA", at positions 496 to 795 of the family's 1533-position model. The record is from RNAcentral. Lineage: Bacteria; Bacillati; Bacillota; Bacilli; Lactobacillales; Lactobacillaceae.
GCAAAGUCGGGGGCGGGAGCCGGGGGAAUGCGGAGGGGGCGAGCGUUAAUCGGAUUGACUGGGCGUAAAGCGCGCGUAGGUGGCUAAUUAAGUCAAAUGUGAAAUCCCCGAGCUUAACUUGGGAAUUGCAUUCGAUACUGGUUGGCUAGAGUAUGGGAGAGGAUGGUAGAAUUCCAGGUGGAGCGGUGAAAUGCGUAGAGAUCUGGAGGAAUACCGAUGGCGAAGGCAGCCAUCUGGCCUAAUACUGACACUGAGGUGCGAAAGCAUGGGGAGCAAACAGGAUUAGAUACCCCUGUAGUC